CGGGGGUAGAGCACUGUUUCGGCAAGGGGGUCAUCCCGACUUACCAACCCGAUGCAAACUGCGAAUACCGGAGAAUGUUAUCACGGGAGACACACGGCGGGUGCUAACGUCCGUCGUGAAGAGGGAAACAACCCAGACCGCCAGCUAAGGUCCCAAAGUCAUGGUUAAGUGGGAAACGAUGUGGGAAGGCCCAGACAGCCAGGAUGUUGGCUUAGAAGCAGCCAUCAUUUAAAGAAAGCGUAAUAGCUCACUGGUCGAGUCGGCCUGCGCGGAAGAUGUAACGGGGCUAAACCAUGCACCGAAGCUGCGGCAGCGACGCUUAUGCGUUGUUGGGUAGGGGAGCGUUCUGUAAGCCUGCGAAGGUGUGCUGUGAGGCAUGCUGGAGGUAUCAGAAGUGCGAAUGCUGACAUAAGUAACGAUAAAGCGGGUGAAAAGCCCGCUCGCCGGAAGACCAAGGGUUCCUGUCCAACGUUAAUCGGGGCAGGGUGAGUCGACCCCUAAGGCGAGGCCGAAAGGCGUAGUCGAUGGGAAACAGGUUAAUAUUCCUGUACUUGGUGUUACUGCGAAGGGGGGACGGAGAAGGCUAUGUUGGCCGGGCGACGGUUGUCCCGGUUUAAGCGUGUAGGCUGGUUUUCCAGGCAAAUCCGGAAAAUCAAGGCUGAGGCGUGAUGACGAGGCACUACGGUGCUGAAGCAACAAAUGCCCUGCUUCCAGGAAAAGCCUCUAAGCAUCAGGUAACAUCAAAUCGUACCCCAAACCGACACAGGUGGUCAGGUAGAGAAUACCAAGGCGCUUGAGAGAACUCGGGUGAAGGAACUAGGCAAAAUGGUGCCGUAACUUCGGGAGAAGGCACGCUGAUAUGUAGGUGAAGUCCCUCGCGGAUGGAGCUGAAAUCAGUCGAAGAUACCAGCUGGCUGCAACUGUUUAUUAAAAACACAGCACUGUGCAAACACGAAAGUGGACGUAUACGGUGUGACGCCUGCCCGGUGCCGGAAGGUUAAUUGAUGGGGUCAGCGCAAGCGAAGCUCUUGAUCGAAGCCCCGGUAAACGGCGGCCGUAACUAUAACGGUCCUAAGGUAGCGAAAUUCCUUGUCGGGUAAGUUCCGACCUGCACGAAUGGCGUAAUGAUGGCCAGGCUGUCUCCACCCGAGACUCAGUGAAAUUGAACUCGCUGUGAAGAUGCAGUGUACCCGCGGCAAGACGGAAAGACCCCGUGAACCUUUACUAUAGCUUGACACUGAACAUUGAGCCUUGAUGUGUAGGAUAGGUGGGAGGCUUUGAAGUGUGGACGCCAGUCUGCAUGGAGCCGACCUUGAAAUACCACCCUUUAAUGUUUGAUGUUCUAACGUUGACCCGUAAUCCGGGUUGCGGACAGUGUCUGGUGGGUAGUUUGACUGGGGCGGUCUCCUCCUAAAGAGUAACGGAGGAGCACGAAGGUUGGCUAAUCCUGGUCGGACAUCAGGAGGUUAGUGCAAUGGCAUAAGCCAGCUUGACUGCGAGCGUGACGGCGCGAGCAGGUGCGAAAGCAGGUCAUAGUGAUCCGGUGGUUCUGAAUGGAAGGGCCAUCGCUCAACGGAUAAAAGGUACUCCGGGGAUAACAGGCUGAUACCGCCCAAGAGUUCAUAUCGACGGCGGUGUUUGGCACCUCGAUGUCGGCUCAUCACAUCCUGGGGCUGAAGUAGGUCCCAAGGGUAUGGCUGUUCGCCAUUUAAAGUGGUACGCGAGCUGGGUUUAGAACGUCGUGAGACAGUUCGGUCCCUA
Molecule: ribosomal RNA, 1761 nt
Filed under: Escherichia coli
Lineage: Bacteria; Pseudomonadati; Pseudomonadota; Gammaproteobacteria; Enterobacterales; Enterobacteriaceae
Description: partial 23S ribosomal RNA
Rfam family: Bacterial large subunit ribosomal RNA
Source: RNAcentral